This 870-nucleotide ribosomal RNA is filed under the name uncultured bacterium. RNAcentral's name for it is "bacterial SSU rRNA". It matches the Rfam family "Bacterial small subunit ribosomal RNA", at positions 55 to 933 of the family's 1533-position model. The record is from RNAcentral.
AUGCAGUCGAGGGGUAUAGUCUUCGGAUUUAGAGACCGGCGCACGGGUGCGUAACGCGUAUGCAAUCUACCUUUUACAGGGGGAUAGCCCAGAGAAAUUUGGAUUAAUACCCCAUGGUAUUAUUGAGUGGCAUCACUUAAUAAUUAAAGUCACAACGGUAAAAGAUGAGCAUGCGUCCCAUUAGCUAGUUGGUAAGGUAACGGCUUACCAAGGCAACGAUGGGUAGGGGUCCUGAGAGGGAGAUCCCCCACACUGGUACUGAGACACGGACCAGACUCCUACGGGAGGCAGCAGUGAGGAAUAUUGGUCAAUGGGCGCAAGCCUGAACCAGCCAUGCCGCGUGCAGGAUGACGGUCCUAUGGAUUGUAAACUGCUUUUGCACAGGAAGAAACACUGAUUCGUGAAUCAGCUUGACGGUACUGUGAGAAUAAGGAUCGGCUAACUCCGUGCCAGCAGCCGCGGUAAUACGGAGGAUCCAAGCGUUAUCCGGAAUCAUUGGGUUUAAAGGGUCCGUAGGCGGUUUGGUAAGUCAGUGGUGAAAGCCCAUCGCUCAACGGUGGAACGGCCAUUGAUACUGCUAAACUUGAAUUAUUAGGAAGUAACUAGAAUAUGUAGUGUAGCGGUGAAAUGCUUAGAGAUUACAUGGAAUACCAAUUGCGAAGGCAGGUUACUACUAAUGGAUUGACGCUGAUGGACGAAAGCGUGGGUAGCGAACAGGAUUAGAUACCCUGGUAGUCCACGCCGUAAACGAUGGAUACUAGCUGUUGGGAGCAAUCUCAGUGGCUAAGCGAAAGUGAUAAGUAUCCCACCUGGGGAGUACGUUCGCAAGAAUGAAACUCAAAGGAAUUGACGGGGGCCCGCACAAGCGGU